This is an RNA transcript of Cyprinus carpio (common carp), 1047 nucleotides long. RefSeq lists it as uncharacterized. The record is from RefSeq and is a predicted model, not a curated record. Lineage: Eukaryota; Metazoa; Chordata; Actinopteri; Cypriniformes; Cyprinidae.
AUGCUUUCAGUCUGACACUAAAAGUCAUUUAUUGUGUUUCACAGGAUACUGAGGCACUGGGGCCACACACAAAGGCCAUGAAAAUGGGGAUCCUGGAAGUGACUGACAGUUCUACCAACUCAGGACCAUAUCCCACAGUGGUCAAUGUGGCUGUAGUACUGGAGGAGGAAGUUGUCAUGGACAAUCUGGGAGACUUCACAAAAGAGUGCACAGCAAGGAUACAGUCCUUGAAAAACAAGUUAUUACAGGAAGAUUUGGUGUUGAUGAAGGAGGCAACAUCUUCAAGGCAAAACCUUAGACCUGAUGCAACAUCAUCCAGUGUCAAAAUCACCAUUUAGGAGGCACUUGAAGACCAGUGCCCAAUAUGCACAGGAACAUUUCCAGUGUCAGAAGUAGACCUGCCAUGCAGGACUUUUUUUGCAAUCUUUUAUUUUUUAAUUACAAAAUAAUUAGUUUUACUUUCAAACACAGAAUGUUUGAUUGAAUAAUAAAGACACAAAAAUCAUUCCAUACGAUGGUCGCUAAGAAGAUAGGACGCAAUGAAAACCCUGUGGUCACUGUGGUUUCUCCUUUGGUCGCACUCAUGGAGGACCAAGUAAAAGAAGCUACCGAAAUGGGCAUCACGGCGAUGCAACUCGGCGUGCACAGCGAGGUGGACAUAACCAGCGGUCGUUGUCUGCUCCGAAUCCUGGCUGCUGAACAAGAAGUGGAGGGACAUGCUAGGCUCCGAUGUUUUUCAAGACAACGUAAUGGGUAUCGUCGUGGAUGAAGUUCAUCUCAUUUACAAAUGGUAAGAUUUAAUCUGACUGUCUGACCUAGAAAAUAACUCAUAACAUAGAGACAUGAAGCAAAUGUUGUAAAAAAUAUAUUGUACCUAACUUAGUCCCGAUGUAAGUUACGUCUGUAAAGUCAGUUUUGUGCAAUCAUAACGAGAGUCUCAGUGAAAUAACAAAAAGUUCAAACAUUCUCACUUACUGCGUUGCUCUGAUUGGUUGUAGGUCUAUCCAACUGAGUGCAGAGGUUUUUUUUUUACUGGUUCGGUUAAGA